CAGCAGCCGCGGUAAAACGUAGGUGGCAAGCGUUGUCCGGAAUUAUUGGGCGUAAAGGGCUCGCAGGCGGUUUCUUAAGUCUGAUGUGAAAGCCCCCGGCUCAACCGGGGAGGGUCAUUGGAAACUGGGAAACUUGAGUGCAGAAGAGGAGAGUGGAAUUCCACGUGUAGCGGUGAAAUGCGUAGAGAUGUGGAGGAACACCAGUGGCGAAGGCGACUUUCUGGUCUGUAACUGACGCUGAGGAGCGAAAGCGUGGGGAGCGAACAGGAUUAGAUACCCCCGUAGUCCCUGUCUCUUAUAC
RNAcentral lists this ribosomal RNA (301 nucleotides) under uncultured bacterium. RNAcentral describes it as "partial 16S ribosomal RNA". It matches the Rfam family "Bacterial small subunit ribosomal RNA", at positions 509 to 807 of the family's 1533-position model. The record is from RNAcentral.